RNAcentral lists this long non-coding RNA (1210 nucleotides) under Triticum aestivum (bread wheat). RNAcentral describes it as "long non-coding RNA (TAES_LNC010386)". The record is from RNAcentral. Lineage: Eukaryota; Viridiplantae; Streptophyta; Magnoliopsida; Poales; Poaceae.
AACUUAUGUGCUUAUCACAUUUGAGCUUCAAUAACCUUUUUCAUAGAUCCAAAACAAUAAAUACAACCACAUGGACCAACACAUUUGGAGGGAGGAACUAUAGACGUACAUCAUGGGGUAGCAAAUAAUAUGAACUCCAGGCACAACAUUUUUUAACUUCUUUUUGUAUCUCGCAAACUGAAAAUAAGAGGAAAGGAAAUUAGAACACAAAGUAAGAAGAAAGCAGAGCACAAGUGCUUGUGCGACAUGGAUCCGUCAACCCUUUUGCAUCCUAGUUCCAGCUAGUAUGAGCUAGCACCUCCUGGAUCGAGCUGCAGUAGUGCAACACAACGCAUCAGAGAGAUAAAAAGGUGAGUAGCAGCAUGUACAGGAAGGGGAGAAAGCAACUACAACACGCGAGCAUCCACCGACAGAGAGAGAGAGAGAGAUGCAGCAACGGCUGGACAUGCGCAUUGUCAAUGGACAAAUGGUAGCCUGCUUUGUCGGGCAAAGACGGUGGCCCUCACCGUCAGGCACCGGCGACGGGGCGCAGCAGUGCUCGGGGUUCCCGGAGCAACGCGACGCGGGUUGGCGGUCUAGGCAUCGGGGUGGCGACCGCGACGACUCUACUAACAGACUGAAUAAGAAGUUAAGAACUGGGAGCAAAGACCAUUGGAAACAUGUUUACAAUUUUACAUUAUAUGAUAAAAAAACAAACUUAAAAUACCAUGCUAAAAAUUCAAAAUCUUCAGAGUUGGGUGCCUAUAACUGAACGUACAUCCCAUUUUUCUUGCAACAGAGUACCACAAUACUAACUUGUGGCCUAACUGUAAUCAAAUAGAACUCGUGGACUAUGCCCUUGCAACCACCUAAACAAGUAAACAACUAGCUGCAAAUCUCACUACCUGAACCCACACCGUCAACACAUCUCUGCUCUAUCAGCUCACAGUUUCAGACAGAAAAUGGGUGAACUAUACACAGAUUUACAUUGCACAAGAACAAGAUCCAUAAAACUACAACUAAUCAAGACAAACGUGGGAUUUGACAUUGGGAAAUCACACACCCACAUCUAAUAGACAUGAGAAUGGGGAUCUCUCACUCCCUUGUUCUAUCUCCUCUCACUUCCUUCAUACACACACGCAAACAGAGAGAGGAUGAGAGGAACACAACUGAAUCGGAUCCAGGGAAGAGCACGGGUGGCCUGCACGCAGCUCUACUCAUGACCGACGGC